This 193-nucleotide unclassified non-coding RNA is filed under the name plant metagenome. Its description in RNAcentral is "partial contains small subunit ribosomal RNA and internal transcribed spacer 1". The stretch from base 1 to 45 matches the Rfam family "Eukaryotic small subunit ribosomal RNA", at positions 1787 to 1831 of the family's 1831-position model. The record is from RNAcentral.
AGUCGUAACAAGGUUUCCGUAGGUGAACCUGCGGAAGGAUCCAAUUGACCCUAGAGGGUUGUUAGGGCUUUGCCUGCUAUCUCUUACCCAUGUCUUUUAAGUACCUUACGUUUCCUCGGCGGUCCGCCCGCCGGUUGGACAAUUUAAACCAUUUGCAGUUGCAAUCAGCGUCUGAAAAACUUAAUAGUUACAA